CUAGAGAUAGAGCCUUCCCCUUCGGGGGACAAAGUGACAGGUGGUGCAUGGUUGUCGUCAGCUCGUGUCGUGAGAUGUUGGGUUAAGUCCCGCAACGAGCGCAACCCUUAAGCUUAGUUGCCAUCAUUAAGUUGGGCACUCUAAGUUGACUGCCGGUGACAAACCGGAGGAAGGUGGGGAUGACGUCAAAUCAUCAUGCCCCUUAUGAUUUGGGCUACACACGUGCUACAAUGGACAAUACAAAGGGCAGCGAAACCGCGAGGUCAAGCAAAU
Molecule: ribosomal RNA, 273 nt
Filed under: uncultured Enterococcus sp.
Lineage: Bacteria; Bacillati; Bacillota; Bacilli; Lactobacillales; Enterococcaceae
Description: partial 16S ribosomal RNA
Rfam family: Bacterial small subunit ribosomal RNA
Source: RNAcentral